CAGCAUCACGUUCCGUCAGCGAGUACUGUUUGAAGUGGAGGAAGAUUUGAGGUCCGAUGGUUUGCAUGUAAAACUAUAUUCUUAUUUGCUUUUUUUAGAUAGAGAUUAGCCUGUCUAGGCAUUGGUCACUAGGUUUGGGAAGGCUAGGUUUCAGGUCCAUAGUUCUACGAAUGGUAGGGUUAGGGUAAGUGUUGGUUCGGGGCUAGAUUUAGAUCUUUUUAGUGACAAGGUCCUUGUCGUUUGUUUGAUCUAUCGGUUUUGAUUUUGGUAGGUAGGCUUUGCCAUUAUUUUUCCUACUCCCUCAAGCAUGUCUAUGUGAGGGAAAUUUGUAAGACACUUCUUCAGUAAUGUACCUCAGAUUCAUCGGGUGUUUCGGCUCUUUCAACACUAGACACCCUCCUCUGAGGCGGCCCGCCUUAGGUGAUCAGUCCCAGGCGAGUGUCUUAUUGUCAAUUGCUAAAUGGGUUUGUUCAGAGCCCCAAUUGGAUGGUUGGGGUCUGGUUUUCUGGUCCUUAUUGAAGCAUUGUGUCCGACAUUAGUGGAUGGGGGUAUUUUUAAGGUAAGAUUUUUAAUUGUGCUUUUAAAGGCUGUUUAGACUUUUUAUUUAAGGUUUGGCAAUCUAAAAAGUUGAAUGUUUAGUUGAAAAAUGACAGCAGAAGCCGAUUAGAUUUUGGGUUAUCUGAAAAGUAAA
This is a long non-coding RNA of Sinocyclocheilus rhinocerous, 691 nucleotides long. RefSeq lists it as uncharacterized. NCBI's taxonomy places the organism in Eukaryota, Metazoa, Chordata, Actinopteri, Cypriniformes, Cyprinidae. The record is from RefSeq and is a predicted model, not a curated record. The transcript has 2 exons.